CCUACGGGAGGCAGCAGUAGGGAAUAUUGCUCAAUGGGGGAAACCCUGAAGCAGCAACGCCGCGUGGAGGAUGAAGGUUUUCGGAUUGUAAACUCCUUUUGUUAGAGAAGAUAAUGACGGUAUCUAACGAAUAAGCACCGGCUUAAUCCGUGCCAGCAGCCGCGGUCAUACGGAGGGUGCAAGCGUUACUCGGAAUCACUGGGCGUAAAGUGGGCGUAGGCGGGAUAGCAAGGCAGGUGUGAAAUCCUAUGGCUUAACCAUAGAACUGCAUUUGAAACUGUUAUUCUAGAGUAUGGGAGAGGUAGGUGGAAUUCUUGGUGUAGGGGUAAAAUCCGUAGAGAUCAAGAAGAAUACUCAUUGCGAAGGCGGCCUGCUAGAACAUAACUGACGCUGAUGCGCGAAAGCGUGGGGAGCGAACAGGAUUAGAUACCCUAGUAGUC
Molecule: ribosomal RNA, 440 nt
Filed under: uncultured bacterium
Lineage: Bacteria
Description: partial 16S ribosomal RNA
Rfam family: Bacterial small subunit ribosomal RNA
Source: RNAcentral